Molecule: long non-coding RNA, 285 nt
Filed under: Helianthus annuus (common sunflower)
Lineage: Eukaryota; Viridiplantae; Streptophyta; Magnoliopsida; Asterales; Asteraceae
Description: hypothetical non coding rna
Source: RNAcentral
UUUCUUCUCUUCCAUAAUCCUUAUUUGUUGUGAAAGCAGUCUACACAAAAACACACAUAAUGUUUUGUUAAGUUUUAGUGUUCAUCAUUAAAGUUUAGGAUAUAAGGUUAUUGGUGAAUGAUGAAAUUAUUGAAAUAUUUAAUAUAUCCUUUGGUCAAUCAUGCUGAGCCAAGCCUUGCCACUAUGUAUCUGAUCGUAAACUUCAUUAUAUCAAGAGUGAAAUAAAACACGAUACUGUAAAGCCAGAUAACGACAACCCAUUUCUAUCCGAUUCCUUUGAUUCUU